This 425-nucleotide ribosomal RNA is filed under the name uncultured prokaryote. RNAcentral's name for it is "bacterial SSU rRNA". It matches the Rfam family "Bacterial small subunit ribosomal RNA", at positions 355 to 796 of the family's 1533-position model. The record is from RNAcentral.
UGAGGAAUAUUGCACAAUGGGGGCAACCCUGAUGCAGCAAUGCCGCGUGAGUGAAGAAGGCUUUCGAGUUGUAAAGCUCUUUUCUGUGGGAAGAGAGAGGACGGUACCACAGGAAUAAGUCCCGGCUAACUACGUGCCAGCAGCCGCGGUAAAACGUAGGGGGCAAGCGUUAUCCGGAAUCAUUGGGCGUAAAGCGCGUGUAGGCGGUUAAGUAAGUUGGUUGUGAAAGCUCCCGGCUCAACUGGGAGAGGUCAAUCAAAACUGCUAAACUUGAGGCAGGUAGAGGGACAUGGAAUUCCUGGUGUAGUGGUGGAAUGCGUAGAGAUCAGGAGGAACCUCAGAGGCGAAAGCGAUGUCCUGGACCUGACCUGACGCUGAGAUGCGAAAGCGUGGGUAGCGAACGGGAUUAGAUACCCCCGUAGUCC